RNAcentral lists this ribosomal RNA (528 nucleotides) under Escherichia coli. RNAcentral describes it as "partial 23S ribosomal RNA". It matches the Rfam family "Bacterial large subunit ribosomal RNA", at positions 1273 to 1786 of the family's 2925-position model. The record is from RNAcentral. Lineage: Bacteria; Pseudomonadati; Pseudomonadota; Gammaproteobacteria; Enterobacterales; Enterobacteriaceae.
CUGGAGGUAUCAGAAGUGCGAAUGCUGACAUAAGUAACGAUAAAGCGGGUGAAAAGCCCGCUCGCCGGAAGACCAAGGGUUCCUGUCCAACGUUAAUCGGGGCAGGGUGAGUCGACCCCUAAGGCGAGGCCGAAAGGCGUAGUCGAUGGGAAACAGGUUAAUAUUCCUGUACUUGGUGUUACUGCGAAGGGGGGACGGAGAAGGCUAUGUUGGCCGGGCGACGGUUGUCCCGGUUUAAGCGUGUAGGCUGGUUUUCCAGGCAAAUCCGGAAAAUCAAGGCUGAGGCGUGAUGACGAGGCACUACGGUGCUGAAGCAACAAAUGCCCUGCUUCCAGGAAAAGCCUCUAAGCAUCAGGUAACAUCAAAUCGUACCCCAAACCGACACAGGUGGUCAGGUAGAGAAUACCAAGGCGCUUGAGAGAACUCGGGUGAAGGAACUAGGCAAAAUGGUGCCGUAACUUCGGGAGAAGGCACGCUGAUAUGUAGGUGAAGCGACUUGCUCGUGGAGCUGAAAUCAGUCGAAGAUAC